This 497-nucleotide ribosomal RNA is filed under the name uncultured bacterium. Its description in RNAcentral is "partial 16S ribosomal RNA". It matches the Rfam family "Bacterial small subunit ribosomal RNA", at positions 28 to 507 of the family's 1533-position model. The record is from RNAcentral.
GAUGAACGCUGGCGGCGUGCCUAAUACAUGCAAGUCGAGCGAACAGACGAGGAGCUUGCUCCUCAGACGUUAGCGGCGGACGUGUGAGUAACACGAGGAGAACCUACCUAUAAGACUGGGAUAACUUCGGUAAACCGGUGCUAAUACCGGUAAAUAUAUUGAACCGCUUGGUUCAAUAAGCAAAGACGGUUUUGCUGUCACUUAUAGAUGGUUCGCUACCGCAUUAGCUAGUUGGUAAGGUAACGGCUUACCAAGGCAACGAUGCGUAGCCGAGCUGACAGGGUGAUCGUCCCCCCUGGACUGGAACCACGGUCCAGACUCCUCCGGGAGGCAGCAGUAGGGAAUCUUCCGCAAUGGGCGAAAGCCUGGCGGGGCCACGCCGCGUCAGUGAUGAAGUUCUUCGGAUCGUAAAACUCUGUUAUUAGGGAAAAACAAAUGUGUAAGUAACUAUGCACGUCUUGACGGUACCUAAUCAGAAAGCCACGGCUAACUACGUG